AUGGCCAGGACUGAAGUCCCCAGGAACGGCAGGUGGAAAGAUCUGGAAGGGAAUUUUCACUCCCUUGCGAACAAAAGGGAUGGAGUAAAGAGUCCAACAAUGGAUUUGGGACAAGACCCCAGGGGACCUCUGAGGCCAUGGAUCUAUGAAGAAAUAAGACACAAACAGGCGGGAAGUUUCUAAAAGGAAAGCUAAAGGGAGAGUCCCAGGCUUUGGCGAACAUGUUGGAAAUUCUUUGCGCUUCUUACCGAGGUCAGCAGGGUGACUGGGCAGGAGAAGGUAAUACUUCAAAGAGGAGCAAUUUCCUUGUGAAUAUCCAAGAAACACUGACCAAAGCACUGUGGGAAUAAAGAAAAAUGAUAAACGAUUGAAAGUCCUAAAGGGCACACAGAGAUGUGCACUUUUCCAACUGGAGAAGAAUGCUGAUUGCAAAAGUACCUGAUGAGAGAGUUCCUGGAAAUUCUCUUCCUGUUCCAGAAGGUAGGACAACUCAUGAAUUCCAAAGGAGCAACUCCCCGUGAGUCAGGGCACAGACACCUGGCGAUAGAUGUCUGCUUUUCUGCCAAGCUUCUCUUCACCCUGGCUUAUUCUUCUCUGGAGAGCUUUACUUCCUGAUCUCAGGAGGAGAAACGUAAAACCAGGGGAGUCAAACGCAGGAUCCUGUUGUCCUAGCCCCAGAGAAUAGACAUUGAUGCACUUAUGGCUGUAGCAUAAGUGACCAGAAGUAUUCCCCAGGAUUUUUCUACCAGCAUAUAGACAAAAGUGUCCAAGGAUGACAAACAGAUCUGCCAGCCACCAUGCCUCCAGUCUCCUAGUCAGCCCACCUGGAAGGAACAAAGCUAAUACUCAGUCAGCUAUUGCUGCGUAACAAGUCACCCCAACAUGUAGUGGCUUACAGCAAGGGCAUAUUCAUCUUUCCUUCUUCAUUCUGUGGUUGAGGGGCAGAUCUUCUGCUGGUCUUCCUUUGGCUCCACAUGCAGCUGCUAAGUACCCAGGCCCCAAGCACAUGAGUUUAUUGAGCAUCUGUCAUGUCGUUGAUGCAUGAUUGGCCGCAGAGAGUCACAUGGCCACGCCCAGAACCAGACUAAAAGUGAACACCAGGAGGCAUGAUGAAUCAGGAUCCAUCGUUGUGACCAUUGAUCACAGCAAAGUUCAGAUGCUCCUGGUGGCAUCAAAGUUUAUGGUUUAUGGGGUCCCUGGUUUGUGUCCCCCCUCAUGGAAGAUCCCUUAUUGAUGAAGAUGACCAGACACCAGAGAUUACUCUCAUCCCAUAAUGCAGAGAAAUAUUUCUAGCCAGGAAGAUAUGGGAGAGAGAAUACCUUGUUUAUUCAAUCUGCAGUAAGUGUUACUGAGAACCUAUCAAAACCUUAUCUAGAAUAAAAAGAAAGAUUAUGCACCCUAUCAGUAUUCAAGUA
Molecule: long non-coding RNA, 1415 nt
Filed under: Callithrix jacchus (white-tufted-ear marmoset)
Lineage: Eukaryota; Metazoa; Chordata; Mammalia; Primates; Cebidae
Description: lncRNA (ENSCJAG00000085685.1)
Source: RNAcentral